GUCGUAAAAGGGGACGCGGAGGAGAAGGAAAGUCGCUCAAGCAGUGGACAGAGCGGAGAAAGCGACUUCGGCCGCAGAGAGAAGAAGCUGCCCAAGAAUGGAAAGGAAGAAAUAUAUCACAUCAUCUGUCUGUCCACAGGCUUUCCUUGGGGCUUAUGAAGUGAAUGAAGGAGGGAAGAAAGGAGAGACAGAGAAAAUAUGGAUUUCCUCAUGGUUGUGAUUCCUCUUCACUCUUUUGAAUUUGGAAGGAUGGCAUACACAUCUGAAAAAUACCACUACUUCCUUCAUUGGACUGCAAGGUAUUUCUGUUUGGAAAAGUAAUGGAGUCCAGUCAACUUCAUUGAUCGCCAAGGACUGUCAAAAUUAUAAAACUUGCUGUGGAGCUCUGACAUGCCAGAAGCCGCUAGAAAAAGAAGUUUGACAUUCAGAAACUUAUCAAGAGGUUCUACUCUUUGGAUAGAGACCAAAAUCAUACUUUGAAAAAGCCUGACAGGUUUCUUCGGAAAAGUGGCCAUCCAUGGAAUGAAUGAAAUGUUCUCUUUCUAUUCCAGGGAUUGCAGUGGCAAAGCUAGGCUAGGUCUUGGAGGCUGGUGUAAGGCGAUGUGGGUGAAGGCAGGAGGCUGAUGGAAAGACUGGGGGGAAGAAAAGCCGAAAUGGAUUCACGGUGCCUUGGAUGAAGGACGAGAGGGGAACUGCAAGCUCCUUCAACUGGUUCUGUCCGGUGAGAAGUGAUCAAGCUUGGGCUGACAAGAGGCUCAGGGAGCCCUCACGUUCUUUCGCUUUUUUACCUGCCAAUCAAACUGCUACAAGACAACACCCUGAUCUGGCAUGGACAUAAUCAAGCUUUGGUCAUUCCGGAAGUCGUGUAGCAUGCUCCAAUUUGAAGUGACUGAGAUCUUUUGUGACUUACAGAGGAGAAGGAAAUGUUUUAAAAAUUGGCUUAUGCCAGUCUCCUUACUCUGAAAUUCUCAAUUUUCUUGUAUUACAGGAUAAAUAUAAAUAUCAUCUCACCAAAUUG
RNAcentral lists this long non-coding RNA (1018 nucleotides) under Homo sapiens (human). RNAcentral's name for it is "PREDICTED lncRNA (TCONS_00188964)". The stretch from base 561 to 836 matches the Rfam family "SOX2 overlapping transcript exon 3". Lineage: Eukaryota; Metazoa; Chordata; Mammalia; Primates; Hominidae. The record is from RNAcentral.